RNAcentral lists this ribosomal RNA (857 nucleotides) under uncultured bacterium. Its description in RNAcentral is "SSU rRNA". It matches the Rfam family "Bacterial small subunit ribosomal RNA", at positions 524 to 1381 of the family's 1533-position model. The record is from RNAcentral.
UACGGGAGUGGCAAGCGUUAUCCGGAAUUAUUGGGCGUAAAGCGUCCGCAGGCGGUCUGUCAAGUCUGCUGUUAAAGCGUGGAGCUUAACUCCAUUAAGGCAGUGGAAACUGACAGGCUAGAGUGUGGUAGGGGCAGAGGGAAUUCCCGGUGUAGCGGUGAAAUGCGUAGAUAUCGGGAAGAACACCAGUGGCGAAGGCGCUCUGCUGGGCCAUAACUGACGCUCAUGGACGAAAGCCAGGGGAGCGAAAGGGAUUAGAUACCCCUGUAGUCCUGGCCGUAAACGAUGAACACUAGGUGUCGGGGGAAUCGACCCCCUCGGUGUCGUAGCCAACGCGUUAAGUGUUCCGCCUGGGGAGUACGCACGCAAGUGUGAAACUCAAAGGAAUUGACGGGGGCCCGCACAAGCGGUGGAGUAUGUGGUUUAAUUCGAUGCAACGCGAAGAACCUUACCAGGGUUUGACAUCCUGCGAAUCUCUUGGAAACGAGAGAGUGCCUUCGGGAACGCAGUGACAGGUGGUGCAUGGCUGUCGUCAGCUCGUGUCGUGAGAUGUUGGGUUAAGUCCCGCAACGAGCGCAACCCACGUCGUUAGUUGCCAGCAUUUAGUUGGGCACUCUAGCGAGACCGCCGGUGAUAAACCGGAGGAAGGUGUGGAUGACGUCAAGUCAUCAUGCCCCUUACAUCCUGGGCUACACACGUACUACAAUGCUACGGACAAAGGGCAGCAAACUCGCGAGAGCUAGCAAAUCCCAUAAACCGUGGCUCAGUUCAGAUCGUAGGCUGCAACUCGCCUACGUGAAGGAGGAAUCGCUAGUAAUCGCAGGUCAGCAUACUGCGGUGAAUACGUUCCCGGGCCU